CAACCCUCAAGCCCCCGGGCUUGGUGUUGGAGAUCGGCACACCGUCCCUCGCGGACGCGCCGCCGUCUCCCAAAUCUAGUGGCGGUCUCGCUGUAGCUUCCUCUGCGUAGUAACUCACCUCGCACUGGGACGCGGCGCGGCCACGCCGUUAAACACCCCACUUCUGAA
RNAcentral lists this unclassified non-coding RNA (168 nucleotides) under uncultured Hypocreales. RNAcentral describes it as "sequence contains ITS2". The record is from RNAcentral. Lineage: Eukaryota; Fungi; Ascomycota; Sordariomycetes; Hypocreales.